AGGCACAGAUGAGUAACGUGAAUUUGUCCGUCUCCGACUUCUGGAGAGUGAUGAUGCGGGUGUGCUGGUUGGUGAGACAGGACAGCCGGCACCAGCGAAUCAGACUUCCACAUUUGGAAGCAGUUGUGAUUGGGCGUGGCCCAGAGACCAAGAUCACUGAUAAGAAAUGUUCUCGACAGCAAGUUGAAAGCAGAGUGUAACAAGGGAUAUGUCAAGGUAAAGCAGGUAGGAGUCAAUCCCACCAGCAUUGACUCAGUCGUAAUUGGGAAGGACCAAGAGGUGAAGCUGCAGCCUG
RNAcentral lists this long non-coding RNA (295 nucleotides) under Homo sapiens (human). RNAcentral describes it as "HSALNT0148156". Lineage: Eukaryota; Metazoa; Chordata; Mammalia; Primates; Hominidae. The record is from RNAcentral.